GGAGUCUGGUCCGUGUCUCAGUACCAGUGUGGGGGACCUUCCUCUCAGAACCCCUAACGAUCGAUGGCACGGUGGGCCGUUGCCCCGCCGUCUACCUAAUCAGACGCAUCCCCAUCCCAUAGCGAUAAAUCUUUGGUAUUGCUCAGAUGUCCUCAUAAUACAACAUAGGGCAUUAAUCCGACUUUCGCCGGGCUAUUCCCUACUAUGGGGAAGGUUGGAUACGCGUUACUCACCCGUGCGCCGGUCGCCAUCAAAGUUUGCAAGCAAACUUCAUGCUGCCCCUCGACUUGCAUGUGUUAAGCCUGUAGCUAGCGUUCAUC
RNAcentral lists this ribosomal RNA (320 nucleotides) under uncultured Prevotella sp. RNAcentral describes it as "partial 16S ribosomal RNA". Lineage: Bacteria; Pseudomonadati; Bacteroidota; Bacteroidia; Bacteroidales; Prevotellaceae. The record is from RNAcentral.